AUACGGAGGGUGCAAGCGUUGUCCGGAUUUAUUGGGUUUAAAGGGUGCGUAGGUGGUUUUUUAAGUCAGUGGUGAAAGCCUACAGCUUAACUGUAGAGGUGCCAUUGAUACUGGGGAACUUGAGUAUGGACGAGGUAGGCGGAAUUUGUGGUGUAGCGGUGAAAUGCAUAGAUACCACAAGGAACACCGAUAGCGAAGGCAGCUUACUGGGCCAUAACUGACACUCAGGCACGAAAGCGUGGGGAGCGAACAGGAUUAGAAACCCUAGUAGUCC
This 274-nucleotide ribosomal RNA is filed under the name uncultured bacterium. Its description in RNAcentral is "partial 16S ribosomal RNA". It matches the Rfam family "Bacterial small subunit ribosomal RNA", at positions 523 to 796 of the family's 1533-position model. The record is from RNAcentral.